UGUCGUUGAAAUCAUCGAAUGUUGUGUCACUGUCAAUUUUGUUGUGAGAAGAUUACGUUGAUAUAAAUUUUACGUGUUUUUGAGGCUUAAAUGUGGAGAUUAUGUGGUCGGCGAAUUUAUUUCCUUGUUUGGCAUCAUUUAGAUUGUUUAGAUGCUUUAAGUUAAGAGAUUAGGAAGCAUCCCAACACGAUACCGCCUCAAAGUCAAUAAACCUGCAUUUUAGUAGAUUUUUAUUUAUUUAUUUUUUUUAUGCAUAACAAGGCAGGUAUUUGACCACAAUCGCACAUGAUGUUAAGAGGGAUGCAGUCUAGGAUGGUACAUAUCUGCCCUGUAAGAUACCUACUUAUGUGACAAAUUGCCGGAAAGAUAGUCUUAUGGCAACAAAAAGAGUGUCCUUGGAACACAAGGUUAUAUUAUGUGCUAUGCAUUAAGAUGCAUCCAGUUCAUACCAAGGCACUGAUGGUAUGAAGAAGCAUUUGGAAUUACUUAACCAAUGCUCUCAAUACCCCCAACAUACUCGGAGAAGUAGGUAGGUACUCAUGCCUACAUAAGAUUUAUCCAUGAACUAUUUUAUACAAAUGUACAUAUGCAUUCAGUUCUUAAGAUCAUACAGAACAAAACACAACAGGGUGAUUCCAUACCUUUGCUCGUAAGUGUUUUAGCCAGAAAGUUUUAGAUCUUAAUAAACUUAUUUACCUAAACUAAUAACUAUAAAAUUAAUGUUAUAGUAUUCUACUCAUCAACAUUUAUUAAUCAUUACAGGUACCUACCCUACCCAAACCUUACAAAGAUCCAGCUUCGGCACAGAAUAAGUAAUAGGACUAAGGUUCCUGGGCACACUUAAGAAAUACCAUCAACACUUGCGGGCAAAUAGACAUUAAUGGGAUUAAAACAAAAUAUAUGUGUGACAAUUUAUUUAAUAAAUACUUAUAAAACAUUAAACAAUAUUUUGAAUUUCAAUUAAAACAUAGGUACCUAACAGUCUUAAUUUUCUAU
This is a long non-coding RNA of Ostrinia nubilalis (European corn borer), 996 nucleotides long. RefSeq lists it as uncharacterized. The record is from RefSeq and is a predicted model, not a curated record. The transcript is spliced from 3 exons. Lineage: Eukaryota; Metazoa; Arthropoda; Insecta; Lepidoptera; Crambidae.